This 253-nucleotide ribosomal RNA is filed under the name uncultured bacterium. RNAcentral describes it as "partial 16S ribosomal RNA". It matches the Rfam family "Bacterial small subunit ribosomal RNA", at positions 524 to 776 of the family's 1533-position model. The record is from RNAcentral.
UACGAAGGGGGCUAGCGUUGCUCGGAAUUACUGGGCGUAAAGGGAGCGUAGGCGGAUCGUUGAGUUGGGGGUGAAAGCCCGGGGCUCAACCUCGGAAUUGCCUUCAAUACUGGCGAUCUUGAGUAUGGGAGAGGUGUGUGGAACUCCGAGUGUAGAGGUGAAAUUCGUAGAUAUUCGGAAGAACACCAGUGGCGAAGGCGACACACUGGCCCAUUACUGACGCUGAGGCUCGAAAGCGUGGGGAGCAAACAGG